Molecule: long non-coding RNA, 209 nt
Filed under: Lathyrus oleraceus (garden pea)
Lineage: Eukaryota; Viridiplantae; Streptophyta; Magnoliopsida; Fabales; Fabaceae
Description: Pisum sativum (pea) long non-coding RNA (PSAT_LNC037842)
Source: RNAcentral
ACACAAACACCAUCAACAAUAAAAACAUCAACAAUAGGAUCAUCAACAAAUAUCCUCAAUAAAAAUUGUGGCAUCAAGACACAAAAUCAUCAACAAUAGCAACAUUAAUAAUAAGAUCAUCAAUAAACAUCAUUAACAAUAACAUCAUCAAUAAUAACAUCAUCAACAAAAGAAUCAUCAAUAAUGGCAUCAUCAACAAUAACAUCAAC